GUACACGCUGUGACUAGCAUAUCAAUAAGCGGAGGAAAAGAAACUAACAAGGAUUCCCCUAGUAACGGCGAGUGAAGCGGGAAGAGCUCAAAGUUGAAAUCUUAGAGGGUUUCCCUUUACGAAUUGUAGUUUAAAGAAGUGUUUUCUGUUGAGGUUUUGGUAAAGGUUCUUUGGAAUAGGACAUCAUAGAGGGUGAGAAUCCCGUAUUUGACCUUUACUUUCAACUUUGUGAUACACUUUCAAAGAGUCGGAUUGUUUGGGAAUGCAGUCCAAAAUGGGUGGUAAAUUUCAUCUAAAGCUAAAUAUUGGCGAGAGACCGAUAGCGAACAAGUACCGUGAGGGAAAGAUGAAAAGAACUUUGAAAAGAGAGUUAAACAGUACGUGAAAUUGUCAAAAGGGAAGCGUUUGACACCAGUGUUGUUUUUCUGAGAAUCAAUUAAAGAACUGUUUAUGCUAAGCUGUUUAGACUUUAUCAGCUAUACUGUUUAGUUUUGAGCUUUUCUUUGAUGCACUUUUCAGUUAACAAGUCAACAUCAAUUUCUUUUGCUGUAAAAAAGCUUGAGGAAGGUGGCUUGAGAUUCGUCUUAAGUGUUUAUAGCCUCUUGCCUAUGCAGUCGGAGAGAUUGAGGUCUGCAGCGUAGAUCCUUCGGGGCUAAAUGCAUUUGUGCUAAGUUAUAGCAUUUUAUAGACAACUUGUUGACUAUGAUUUGUCUUGUAGCUUACUCGCUUAUGUUAUUUUACCUACGCUUAGGAUGUUGACGAGACUGUCGAUCUCAUCUAUACAUGACUCUGUGCAUAUCAAUAAGCGGAGGAAAAGAGGGCUAUUACCUACGCUUAGGAUGUUGACGAGACUGUCGAUCUC
This 862-nucleotide ribosomal RNA is filed under the name uncultured Neocallimastigales. RNAcentral describes it as "partial large subunit ribosomal RNA". It matches the Rfam family "Eukaryotic large subunit ribosomal RNA", at positions 22 to 646 of the family's 3401-position model. Lineage: Eukaryota; Fungi; Neocallimastigomycota; Neocallimastigomycetes; Neocallimastigales. The record is from RNAcentral.